This 253-nucleotide ribosomal RNA is filed under the name uncultured bacterium. RNAcentral describes it as "partial 16S ribosomal RNA". It matches the Rfam family "Bacterial small subunit ribosomal RNA", at positions 524 to 776 of the family's 1533-position model. The record is from RNAcentral.
UACAGAGGGGGCAAGCGUUGUUCGGAAUUACUGGGCGUAAAGGGCGCGUAGGCGGCCUGUUAAGUCGGACGUGAAAUCCCUCGGCUCAACCGGGGAACUGCGUCCGAUACUGGCGGGCUUGAAUUCGGGAGAGGGAUGUGGAAUUCCAGGUGUAGCGGUGAAAUGCGCAGAUAUCUGGAGGAACACCGGUGGCGAAGGCGGCAUCCUGGACCGACAUUGACGCUGAGGCGCGAAAGCCAGGGGAGCAAACGGG